RNAcentral lists this ribosomal RNA (490 nucleotides) under uncultured bacterium. RNAcentral describes it as "partial 16S ribosomal RNA". It matches the Rfam family "Bacterial small subunit ribosomal RNA", at positions 28 to 507 of the family's 1533-position model. The record is from RNAcentral.
GAUGAACGCUAGCUACAGGCUUAACACAUGCAAGUCGCGGGGCAGCAUGGGGGUUGCUUGCAAUCCCCGAUGGCGACCGGCGCACGGGUGAGUAACGCGUAUCCAACCUGCCCUUCACCACGGGAUAACCCGGCGAAAGUCGGACUAACACCGUAUGUUGUCCAUUGACGGCAUCCGAUUUGGACGAAAGGCUUGGCGGUGAGGGAUGGGGAUGCGUCCGAUUAGCCAGACGGCGGGGUAACGGCCCACCGUGGCUACGAUCGGUAGGGGUUCUGAGAGGAAGGUCCCCCACACUGGAACUGAGACACGGUCCAGACUCCUACGGGAGGCAGCAGUGAGGAAUAUUGGUCAAUGGGCGUAAGCCUGAACCAGCCAAGUAGCGUGCAGGAUGACGGCCCUAUGGGUUGUAAACUGCUUUUAUGCGGGGAUAAAGUGGCCCACGUGUGGGCUUUUGCAGGUACCGCAUGAAUAAGGACCGGCUAAUUCCGUG